ACGUCAUAGGCCAGUUGUAUCCAAGCACCCAUGAGGUCCCAUUUCUCCGGGUCGGUCACAAAUACCUUAGCAAUACCUUUCGGUGUCACGUGAAUUUCCUAAUCAGCCAACCAGCAUUGAGGGGUCUAAGUUCACUGUACGAGUGAGCAAAGCAUUCGAACCAGCAUGUGUGAUCUCUGUGUUUCAUGACAAGUCAACCUGGCCAAGUAUGUACCGGAAUGUACCGGAAUGUACCUCAGUGGGCCAGGGCUAGACAGAUUCCAAGAUCUUAAAUUGUGAUCACAGGAAUUUUUAUUGACGAGAGGGAUGGGAUCCGUUUGGCAAAACAUGACAGGAUACUACCAGGACAGUCUGGACAGGGGAGAUCCUCGUGUGUCCGGCUGGCUGUUGAUGGACUCCCCUGUCCCGAGUGUUGUGAUCUUCUUGCUGUACCUGUUGGUGGUAUGGCUGGGCCCACGCAUCAUGGCUGGCCGGAAGCCUGUCAACUUGAAGCUCGUUCUCAUCCCCUACAACUUUGGUCUCGUGGCUCUGUCCUGCUACAUGUUCUGUGAGUUUGUGGUCACAUCUACUCUUUCCCACUACAGCUUCCUGUGUCAACCAGUCGACUAUUCCGACAGCCCUUUAGCACUACGGAUGGCACAAGUCUGCUGGUGGUUCUUUUUCUCCAAAAUCAUCGAACUUCUAGACACGGUGUUCUUCAUAUUACGUAAGAAGAAUGAUCAGGUGACCUUCCUCCACGUCUACCAUCACUGCACCAUGAUCGCCAACUGGUGGCUCGGGGUCAAGUACGUCGCCGGCGGCCAGUCCUUCUUCGUGGCGAUGCUCAACUCGGGUGUGCAUAUAGCCAUGUACCUGUACUACGCGCUGUCCUGCCUGGGCCCGCACAUGCAGAAGUACCUGUGGUGGAAGAAGUACCUCACUCGCCUUCAGCUGACCCAGUUCCUGGCGUUUGUGGUGCACACUGGCUACAACCUGAUGACAGACUGCGACUUCCCCCGCGGCUUCAACAUCGCUGUCUUCCUGUACGCCCUCUCCCUCAUCCUCCUGUUCGGCAACUUCUACUACCGUGCAUACACAUUACGACAACGGGAAGCCAAGAAGAAGCAGUGAUGACUGUUUGACUCAGGGUUUUAACAUUUCACGCAUGACAUGACUAUUUUACGUUCUCAGCUGAUGGCUGAAUCUGGUUUGGUAUACAAGACAAUACACGUGGUGACCUUAAUCUCUGCAUAUAAAACAAUUCCAAGCAGAACAGGAAAUACAAUUUAAUCGGUAAAUCAUCAUGUCUAGUGAUGUGUUAUCUCAAAUUUGUAUUGACCAAGUUUAAUAGUUAUGAUCUGUUCACUUCCCCGAAUUCACUGAAGGGAUACGAUGUAAUUUUUUUCUGCAGAAGACGAACACGUUUUUAUUGCAAAUGUAGGGAUUGUGUAGCUGCUGGUGAUGUGCUUCAUUCUGAUUGGCUUUAUAGACGGGGUAUAUAAAGUAGCAUCGAUUUUGAUGGCUUGUACAGGGGAGUCGCCUUAUACGUGGGGUCACUUUAUAGAAGGCGAUAUACAGUACCCUAGCAUAUAAUACAGAAACUGUCCAUCUGUCUGUGCAUAAGUUCUCUAUUGAUCAUUGCUCAUGGGUUUAAUAUAUUUUCACAAAACUUGGCUUGGUGUCUGAAGGUGUCUGAAGGAUAUGUCUGAUGAAUAUCCCGGUUAAUGGAUCAAUGUGCACUCUAUUUCAUUCUCAUCUCCCUGGGGAGUAUACAACCCAAGCGGCCAAGGCACUUGAAGGUUAACAGACACAUUACCAUCUCAUCCGCACAUUGCAAUAUAGUCAAAUGCCUUGUUAAAGAAACAAAAGACAUCAGAAAUGUCUUUUUUCUCACCUAUUGAUCAGGUAGUACUUGUUACCCAACUUAGUGCUCCUUAUCAAGUGAGACCGCCUCCGUGGUCUAGUGGUAGAGCGUCCGCCCGGAGUGCGGAAGGUCCGGGGUUUGAUCCUCGACCGCGUCAUACCA
This 2005-nucleotide unclassified non-coding RNA is filed under the name Haliotis rufescens (red abalone). RNAcentral describes it as "elongation of very long chain fatty acids protein 4- like, transcript variant X4". The record is from RNAcentral. Lineage: Eukaryota; Metazoa; Mollusca; Gastropoda; Lepetellida; Haliotidae.